Non-coding RNA from Acanthosepion pharaonis, 114 nucleotides. The record is from the annotation of a GenBank genome assembly. NCBI's taxonomy places the organism in Eukaryota, Metazoa, Mollusca, Cephalopoda, Sepiida, Sepiidae.
UUACGGCCACAUCACGUGAAAACACCGGUUCCCGUACGAUCCCCGAAGUUAAGCAACGCCUAGCCUACUCAGUACCAAGAUGGGUGACCGCUUCUGAAUACCGGGUGGUGUAAG